UAAUUAGCCAAUCACUAUUUCCUUGAGGCUGUUAUCUUAUGUGAAUAAUCAGUGAGCACAAAAGUAGCUUUCUGUUAGUGGCAUUUCAUGGUGAACUGGAAUUCUGGUUUCACUUUAGAUCAUCAACUACAUCUGUAAAAUGUUCAGUCUGUAUUUCAUUAGGACUUGCAUAUUUUAUUUGGUUAUGGUGGCCAAUUAGCCAAUCACAUAUUGCUGCAUGGAUGCUGUUGGAUGUGAAUGGUCAGUAAGCCACCAA
Molecule: unclassified non-coding RNA, 256 nt
Filed under: Hevea brasiliensis (rubber tree)
Lineage: Eukaryota; Viridiplantae; Streptophyta; Magnoliopsida; Malpighiales; Euphorbiaceae
Source: RNAcentral